CGGGAUGUAGCGCAGCCCGGUAGCGCACCUGCUUUGGGAGCAGGGGGCCCCAAGUUCGAAUCUUGGUAUCCCGA
Molecule: transfer RNA, 74 nt
Filed under: Saprospiraceae bacterium
Lineage: Bacteria; Pseudomonadati; Bacteroidota; Saprospiria; Saprospirales; Saprospiraceae
Description: tRNA-Pro
Rfam family: tRNA
About the family: Transfer RNA (tRNA) molecules are approximately 80 nucleotides in length. Their secondary structure includes four short double-helical elements and three loops (D, anti-codon, and T loops).
Source: RNAcentral